Molecule: ribosomal RNA, 432 nt
Filed under: Limosilactobacillus reuteri
Lineage: Bacteria; Bacillati; Bacillota; Bacilli; Lactobacillales; Lactobacillaceae
Description: bacterial LSU rRNA
Rfam family: Bacterial large subunit ribosomal RNA
Source: RNAcentral
AGUCCACAUCGACGGGGAGGUUUGGCACCUCGAUGUCGGCUCAUCGCAUCCUGGGGCUGUAGUCGGUCCCAAGGGUUGGGCUGUUCGCCCAUUAAAGCGGUACGCGAGCUGGGUUCAGAACGUCGUGAGACAGUUCGGUCCCUAUCCGUCGCGGGCGUAGGAAAUUUGAGAGGACCUGUCCUUAGUACGAGAGGACCGGGAUGGACAUACCGCUGGUGUACCAGUUGUUCCGCCAGGAGCACCGCUGGGUAGCUAUGUAUGGACGAGAUAAACGCUGAAAGCAUCUAAGUGUGAAACUCGCCUCGAGAUGAGAUUUCCCAUUUCCUUCGGGAAAGUAAGACCCCUCAGAGAUGAUGAGGUAGAUAGGAUGGAAGUGGAAGUGCCGUGAGGCAUGGAGCGGACCAUUACUAAUCGGUCGAGGACUUAACCAAG